RNAcentral lists this ribosomal RNA (927 nucleotides) under uncultured bacterium. RNAcentral's name for it is "bacterial SSU rRNA". It matches the Rfam family "Bacterial small subunit ribosomal RNA", at positions 1 to 916 of the family's 1533-position model. The record is from RNAcentral.
UUCGCCCUUAGAGUUUGAUCCUGGCUCAGGAUGAACGCUAGCUACAGGCUUAACACAUGCAAGUCGAGGGGAAACGACAUCGAAAGCUUGCUUUUGAUGGGCGUCGACCGGCGCACGGGUGAGUAACGCGUAUCCAACCUGCCCAUCACUUGGGGAUAACCUUGCGAAAGUAAGACUAAUACCCAAUGAUAUCUCUAGAAGACAUCUGAAAGAGAUUAAAGAUUUAUCGGUGAUGGAUGGGGAUGCGUCUGAUUAGCUUGUUGGCGGGGUAACGGCCCACCAAGGCGACGAUCAGUAGGGGUUCUGAGAGGAAGGUCCCCCACAUUGGAACUGAGACACGGUCCAAACUCCUACGGGAGGCAGCAGUGAGGAAUAUUGGUCAAUGGACGAGAGUUUGAACCAGCCAAGUAGCGUGCAGGAUGACGGCCCUAUGGGUUGUAAACUGCUUUUAUAAGGGAAUAAAGUGAGUCUCGUGAGACUUUUUGCAUGUACCUUAUGAAUAAGGACCGGCUAAUUCCGUGCCAGCAGCCGCGGUAAUACGGAAGGUCCGGGCGUUAUCCGGAUUUAUUGGGUUUAAAGGGAGCGUAGGCCGGAGAUUAAGCGUGUUGUGAAAUGUAGACGCUCAACGUCUGCACUGCAGCGCGAACUGGUUUCCUUGAGUACGCACAAAGUGGGCGGAAUUCGUGGUGUAGCGGUGAAAUGCUUAGAUAUCACGAAGAACUCCGAUUGCGAAGGCAGCUCACUGGAGCGCAACUGACGCUGAAGCUCGAAAGUGCGGGUAUCGAACAGGAUUAGAUACCCUGGUAGUCCGCACGGUAAACGAUGGAUGCCCGCUGUUGGUCUGAAUAGGUCAGCGGCCAAGCGAAAGCAUUAAGCAUCCCACCUGGGGAGUACGCCGGCAACGGUGAAACUCAAAGGAAUUGACGG